This 1076-nucleotide long non-coding RNA is filed under the name Homo sapiens (human). RNAcentral describes it as "HSALNT0113461". Lineage: Eukaryota; Metazoa; Chordata; Mammalia; Primates; Hominidae. The record is from RNAcentral.
CAUCAAUUUACGUUUACAAAAGAGUUUUUAAAAUACAAUCUCAUCUACUAACUACUACAAAACUACUGGAAAGAAACCUGACGGAUGAAGAAUCUGAAUGUAAGCAUGAGAACAAAGAAGUUCACUUCAAUUUUCUCAAGUUCCUGCUGUAACAGAUGGUCAGCAUAGAAUGCUCAGCGAAAAACCACAGUAGUUGCCAGAGAAGUCAUGUGAUGUAAUGGGAAGAGAAUCUCAAAUGUCAUCAGUCGACGUGAGUCUUCUUAUCUGUGUGACCAUGGGGAAGUUACUUAUGCUUCCUCAUGACCAGUAUCCUCACUGGCAAAGCAAGGCUAAGGACACCAGCAUUCCUGAGUUGUGAGUCACAAGGGAGAGAUGAUCAUUGGACAUUUUGUAAAUUUUUCAUUUUGUUUAUCAUAUUAUUGUUUUUAUAGGCGAGAUAUUGCUGUGUUGGCCGGGCUGGAGUGCAGUGGGGCAAUUUUAGCUCACUGCAGCAUCCAACUUCUGGUUCAAGCAAUCCUCUCACUUCAGCCUUCCAAGUAGUUAGGACUACAGGCAUAUGCUGCUGUGCUCAGCUAACUUUUUCAUUUUUUGUAGAGACAGGAUCUCACUUUGGAAGGCAGCUAUGCUCACCACUACACUGCCAACACCAGGAUCUCACUUUGUUGCCCAAGCUGGUCUUGAACUCCCGGACUCAAGCAACCCUCUUGCCUCAGCCUCCUAAAGUGCUGAGAUUACAGGCGUGAACCACACCAUGCCUGGCCCAUUUUGUCAAUUAAGUGUUUUGGAAAUGCUACUUGUUCAUUAUAAUCAAUCAGUAAAGGAUAAUUAUUGUAGAAAUUAGUAUUUACUAAGAGUUGAAAAAGCAUUCAGCUCUUUUUUUUUUGGCAGAGCUAGCUGAGGUUUUAUUUUGGACCAAAAAAAAAAAAAAAAAAAAAACAGUUGAAUUGUUUUGUAGCUGGAGGCAUGGGCAAGGGGGGGUCCCCAAGCAGUAAACUUCCCCGCACGUGGGCUGAGGGCUAGGACUGAGCCUCAGGUCAUCCCCGUGCUUCCCAGCCAGCAUCUGCAGCUCCUCAUAU